RNAcentral lists this unclassified non-coding RNA (337 nucleotides) under soil metagenome. RNAcentral describes it as "partial contains 5.8S ribosomal RNA, internal transcribed spacer 2, and large subunit ribosomal RNA". The stretch from base 1 to 120 matches the Rfam family "5.8S ribosomal RNA", at positions 35 to 154 of the family's 154-position model. The record is from RNAcentral.
GAUGAAGAACGUAGCGAAAUGCGAUAAGUAGUGUGAAUUGCAGAAUUCAGUGAAUCAUCGAAUCUUUGAACGCACAUUGCGCCCCUUGGUAUUCCAUGGGGCAUGCCUGUUCGAGCGUCAUUUGUACCUUCAAGCUCUGCUUGGUGUUGGGUGUUUGUCUCGCCUCUGCGAGUAGACUCGCCUCAAAACAAUUGGCAGCCGGCGUAUUGAUUUCGGAGCGCAGUACAUCUCGCGCUUUGCACUCAUAACGACGACGUCCAAAAGUACAUUUUUACACUCUUGACCUCGGAUCAGGUAGGGAUACCCGCUGAACUUAAGCAUAUCAAUAAGCGGAGGA